RNAcentral lists this ribosomal RNA (1245 nucleotides) under Niphargus sp. ND259. RNAcentral's name for it is "partial large subunit ribosomal RNA". It matches the Rfam family "Eukaryotic large subunit ribosomal RNA", at positions 1363 to 2171 of the family's 3401-position model. Lineage: Eukaryota; Metazoa; Arthropoda; Malacostraca; Amphipoda; Niphargidae. The record is from RNAcentral.
AAGGCUUCAGUACGAUUAUGUCAGAACUAUAAGUCUCAAAGCCCCGACGAGUAGGGUGGCGUGCCGGUGCGCGUUGAAGGCCAAGACGUGAGUCAGGCUGGAGCCGCCGGUAGUGCAGAUCUUGGUGGUAGUAGCAAGUACUCUGGUGAACCAACCUGGAGCUGUGAGGUCUGGAUCAGGGUUCCAUGUCAACAGUGAUUGAACAUGGGUGAGUCGAUCCUAAGCCAACUGUGAAAGCAGUGACAUCCCGACAAAGGGGCAUUACGUGUGCGGCAGUUACACCCCCAAUAAGUUUCCAUCUCUCUUUCUGUGACGAUAAAAAUGCGCACACACAGUGAUCACUGAACAAAUAUGUGUGAGUGUGUGCGCUUGUCUGGUUGCGCUCACAAGCGUUGUUGCUCUCUGGAAAAAAUGGAUGGGAGAGAGAAUGAGAGACUGGGUGAGCGUAAAAAUGCCAUAACAGCAUGAGCUCCCUUCGUCUGGUUCUAUGUCUGGCGAAAGGGAAUGGGGACUUUGUUCCUUGACCGGUCCCGGCACCCUCGAUUGGUUAUGCCAAUCAAUGGUCCAUGCAAAUGGAACCAGGCCACAGCCGCUGGCAGUCGCCCGAGGAAGAGUUUUCUUUUCUGCUUAACGCACGAGGUCAUUCCUGGAAACAGUUCGGCUGGCGAAAGGGUGCCCCGCUGCGGCAGAGCGCCACGACUGUCGUGCGCGUCUCGGUGUUCCUGCCGGUCCGUGAAGACGUGGUCGAGGGGAAUGCUCUUGUAUCAACGAAACGCCCGACAAGUUCGGGACGGACCGUACCCUAUAUCCGCAUCUGGUCUCCAAGGUUCGUAGCCUCUGCAGAGUCAGACACAUGUAGGUAAGGGAAGUCGGCAAACUCGAUCCGUAACUUCGGGAAAAGGAUUGGCUCUGAGGGCCGAGCUGGGCCGGGCCUUGCCUGCAAAGCAGUACCUAUAGUGACCGGAGUUUCAGGAGUGCGAGGGGCUCUAGUAGCUGCUUGUGCGUGUGUGCGUUCGCGCGCGCGCGUGUGGGCACGAACGAGUCCACCGCUCCGCUCCAACCACGAACGGCUGUGACGGCAAGGGCUCUGGGCGGGAGCGAUCAAACCGUUUGCCUCCAGCUCGUCUGGCUGGCGGCGGUGCUCCGUCUGACCCAUACGGCUCCAGCGGCUAGCGGCUAACUCAGAACUGUCAUGGACCAAGGGAAUCCGACUGUCUAAUUAAAACAAAGCGUCGUGACGGCCCC